CCAUGCUGCUAUCUCUUACAUACCUGGCCAUCAAGGGGUGAUACAGUAGUCUUCUCAACUCCAUUAAGCUCUCCCAGCACAGAUUCUAUGGAUGUUGCACAGGAGCUGCACUUGAUAUUCCCUAUUUUGAACUUAAUUGUUUUAACCUUCUCACCUCUGUGAUCCUUCUCUCUAGGGACAGCAAUUGCAACACCAUCUGGAGGCUGCAGCAAAGGUGCCUUGAGGUCAUCCCUUCCAUUAACUUCCAUUUUAC
Molecule: unclassified non-coding RNA, 253 nt
Filed under: Hevea brasiliensis (rubber tree)
Lineage: Eukaryota; Viridiplantae; Streptophyta; Magnoliopsida; Malpighiales; Euphorbiaceae
Source: RNAcentral